This 1374-nucleotide long non-coding RNA is filed under the name Gallus gallus (chicken). Its description in RNAcentral is "lncRNA (ENSGALG00010029955.1)". Lineage: Eukaryota; Metazoa; Chordata; Aves; Galliformes; Phasianidae. The record is from RNAcentral.
UGAGGCUUUGGCUGACGACAGCUUUCAGCUGCACCUGAACUAGGCUGGAUUUGUCUCCUGCUCUCCAUAGGCAGAGAAGUGCGUCCAGGCAGUUUGGAGAACUGCUGGCUCAGGCUUCACCUCCACUAAUCCAAGUUCAGUCACUUUCCUCUGAAGAACCUGCAUCAAGCCGUGGUUUUAAGCUGCAGAUGGAGUUCUUCUCGCAGGACUGAAGUGCUGAAGCUCUCUGAGCUCCGAAGGCACCCUGAACUCAUGAGGCUUUUUCUUGGUUGGCAACGUGCUUAAAAAAGAAAGAAAUGCAAAUGGGCAUUUCCACGUGACUGUAUUCUGCUCAGUGCAGUGUCUGCCUGUGUUGCAGACUGAGCUCCGUGGCAUUGCAAAGAAUGCACCAAAGGUUCCCGUAUUUCUAGCGGUUGUCAGGGCGGUGGCUCAUGACAUCGUAAGGCCGUGGCGAUGUGACGGUAAGAAUGUCCCAUGUCAAGUACAAGAUGGCUGUGUGGGACGAGGGGAAGCCAUGGCCUGACAGCUGCCCUUCUGGUCAGCAGUGGAAUUCUGCGGGGUCCAUUAGAAGGCCAUUUCUCUGUAAUGCUUUCUCUGUUGGUUCCAGUCAAGAUGUGGCCGUUGUAUGAAGUAAGUUUGUGGUUGCUGUGAAGCUGGGAGGAAUGUUGACUGCCUUGGGGGUUGAGAGGCCUUGCAGCAAGAUGUGGAGAAAUGUGAGGGUGGUCCCCAUCUGCACGAAGAAGAGCAAGCGCUGCGUUCUGCACCUGGGAUGCGGCAGCCCUGGCUAUAAGCCCUCAGCAAACAGUCGUCCUGUUCCACUUUUGGCCAGUCUCAGAUGCUUGUCUUCCAGAAUGUCUGCGUGUGGAUGAAUCACAACAGGAUCCUGGGAACUUUUAAGAAAGGAAAGAUUGCUUCACGUGUAAUGAAAAGCUAGUGUCCAGAAGAUCACUGCGGCCAGAUGCCAAUUUUGAUGCCCUCGUCAGUAAGACUUGUCCAAGCCCUGAUGUAUGUGAAACUCAUCAGGAGGGAAUGCUGGCAAGAAUCAGCUAACACAGUAGCAGCAAGCUUUCAGUGACAGCGUUAAGGAAGGGUGACGAUUCAGGCUGGGAGCAGGUAUGUCAUCACCUGACUUGACCACAUGUAACUUGAUGCUAGAAAUACACCACGUCCUCCCUCCCUGCAUGGCAAGAGAUGGCUCUCUUCUCCUGCAAAGGCAGCCGAAGUAACUUCUGUGUGCUGACUAGAGAGAGAAAACUUGGUGUCACUCCUUGCAAGUCCUGUGGCAGCCAGAUAUUGUGUGAUGAGAGUUGCUGUCUAUUUACUGUGUUUGGUUUCUUUGCUUUGCCAUGCUGUACACGAGUAAAGGAAAUGAAU